GACCAGACUCCUACGGGAGGCAGCAGUGAGGAAUAUUGGUCAAUGGGCGCAAGCCUGAACCAGCCAUGCCGCGUGCAGGAUGACGGUCCUAUGGAUUGUAAACUGCUUUUGUACAGGAAGAAACAGUUCUACGUGUAGAACCUUGACGGUACUGUAAGAAUAAGGAUCGGCUAACUCCG
RNAcentral lists this ribosomal RNA (179 nucleotides) under uncultured bacterium. RNAcentral describes it as "partial 16S ribosomal RNA". It matches the Rfam family "Bacterial small subunit ribosomal RNA", at positions 329 to 505 of the family's 1533-position model. The record is from RNAcentral.